Molecule: ribosomal RNA, 644 nt
Filed under: Milnesium tardigradum
Lineage: Eukaryota; Metazoa; Tardigrada; Eutardigrada; Apochela; Milnesiidae
Description: eukaryotic LSU rRNA
Rfam family: Eukaryotic large subunit ribosomal RNA
Source: RNAcentral
UUCAACAUGCGCGCUAGUUGUUGGGUAGAAUUACAAUGUACUAAACCCGAAGGCGCAGUGAAAGCAAGUCACAGCUCUGCUGUGAAUUGGCGAGAUCCUGUCUACUAGUGUAGCCGGUAAAAUGGCCACUGUACAGGCGCAUCGCCGGCCCAUCAUAGACUCAUGUAGUCGUGGUGGAGCCUGAGCGUGCACGUUGAGACCCGAAAGAUGGUGAACUAUGCCUGGGCAGGAUGAAGCCAGGGGAAACUCUGGUGGAGGUCCGUAGCGAUUCUGACGUGCAAAUCGAUCGUCUGACCUGGGUAUAGGGGCGAAAGACUAAUCGAACCAUCUAGUAGCUGGUUCCCUCCGAAGUUUCCCUCAGGAUAGCUGGCACACGAGAGAACGUAGUCUCUCCCGGUAAAGCGAAUGAUUAGAGGUCUUGGGGUCGAAACGACCUCAGCCUAUUCUCAAACUUUAAAUGGGUGAGAAGUUUGGCUUUCUUAAACACUAUAUAAGAUGAAGUCCAGACGUUUGGAUACGUGCGCCUAGUGGGCCAUUUUUGGUAAGCAGAACUGGCGCUGCGGGAUGAACCGAACGUUGAGUUACGGCGCCCGACGAGACGCUCAUCAGAUCCCAUAAAAGGUGUUGGUUGCUAUAGACAGCAG